AAUGAACGCUGGCGGCGCGCCUAAUACAUGCAAGUCGAGCGAGAAGACGUAGCAAUACGUUUGUAAAGCGGCGAACGGGUGAGGAAUACAUGGGUAACCUACCCUCGAGUGGGGAAUAACUAGCCGAAAGGUUAGCUAAUACCGCGUACGCUUCUUGGACUUCGGUUCAGGGAGGAAAGCGAUACCGUGGGUAUCGCGCUCUUGGAUGGGCUCAUGUCCUAUCAGCUUGUUGGGAGGUAACGGCUCACCAAGGCUUCGACGGGUAGCUGGUCUGAGAGGACGAUCAGCCACACUGGCACUGCGACACGGGCCAGACUCCUACGGGAGGCAGCAGUAAGGAAUAUUGCGCAAUGGGCGAAAGCCUGACGCAGCGACGCCGCGUGGGGGAUGAAGGUCUUCGGAUUGUAAACCCCUUUCGGGAGGGAAGAUGGAA
This 433-nucleotide ribosomal RNA is filed under the name uncultured bacterium. RNAcentral's name for it is "bacterial SSU rRNA". It matches the Rfam family "Bacterial small subunit ribosomal RNA", at positions 29 to 453 of the family's 1533-position model. The record is from RNAcentral.